GAUGAACGCUGGCGGCGUGCCUAAUACAUGCAAGUCGAGCGAACGGACGAGAAGCUUGCUUCUCUGAUGUUAGCGGCGGACGGGUGAGUAACACGUGGAUAACCUACCUAUAAGACUGGGAUAACUUCGGGAAACCGGAGCUAAUACCGGAUAAUAUUUUGAACCGCAUGGUUCAAAAGUGAAAGACGGUCUUGCUGUCACUUAUAGAUGGAUCCGCGCUGCAUUAGCUAGUUGGUAAGGUAACGGCUUACCAAGGCAACGAUGCAUAGCCGACCUGAGAGGGUGAUCGGCCACACUGGAACUGAGACACGGUCCAGACUCCUACGGGAGGCAGCAGUAGGGAAUCUUCCGCAAUGGGCGAAAGCCUGACGGAGCAACGCCGCGUGAGUGAUGAAGGUCUUCGGAUCGUAAAACUCUGUUAUUAGGGAAGAACAUAUGUGUAAGUAACUGUGCACAUCUUGACGGUACCUAAUCAGAAAGCCACGGCUAACUACGUGCCAGCAGCCGCGGUAAUACGUAGGUGGCAAGCGUUAUCCGGAAUUAUUGGGCGUAAAGCGCGCGUAGGCGGUUUUUUAAGUCUGAUGUGAAAGCCCACGGCUCAACCGUGGAGGGUCAUUGGAAACUGGAAAACUUGAGUGCAGAAGAGGAAAGUGGAAUUCCAUGUGUAGCGGUGAAAUGCGCAGAGAUAUGGAGGAACACCAGUGGCGAAGGCGACUUUCUGGCCUGUAACUGACGCUGAUGUGCGAAAGCGUGGGGAUCAAACAGGAUUAGAUACCCUGGUAGUCCACGCCGUAAACGAUGAGUGCUAAGUGUUAGGGGGUUUCCGCCCCUUAGUGCUGCAGCUAACGCAUUAAGCACUCCGCCUGGGGAGUACGACCGCAAGGUUGAAACUCAAAGGAAUUGACGGGGACCCGCACAAGCGGUGGAGCAUGUGGUUUAAUUCGAAGCAACGCGAAGAACCUUACCAAAUCUUGACAUCCUUUGACAACUCUAGAGAUAGAGCCUUCCCCUUCGGGGGACAAAGUGACAGGUGGUGCAUGGUUGUCGUCAGCUCGUGUCGUGAGAUGUUGGGUUAAGUCCCGCAACGAGCGCAACCCUUAAGCUUAGUUGCCAUCAUUAAGUUGGGCACUCUAAGUUGACUGCCGGUGACAAACCGGAGGAAGGUGGGGAUGACGUCAAAUCAUCAUGCCCCUUAUGAUUUGGGCUACACACGUGCUACAAUGGACAAUACAAAGGGCAGCGAAACCGCGAGGUCAAGCAAAUCCCAUAAAGUUGUUCUCAGUUCGGAUUGUAGUCUGCAACUCGACUACAUGAAGCUGGAAUCGCUAGUAAUCGUAGAUCAGCAUGCUACGGUGAAUACGUUCCCGGGUCU
RNAcentral lists this ribosomal RNA (1372 nucleotides) under uncultured bacterium. RNAcentral's name for it is "bacterial SSU rRNA". It matches the Rfam family "Bacterial small subunit ribosomal RNA", at positions 28 to 1381 of the family's 1533-position model. The record is from RNAcentral.